RNAcentral lists this ribosomal RNA (462 nucleotides) under uncultured bacterium. RNAcentral's name for it is "partial 16S ribosomal RNA". It matches the Rfam family "Bacterial small subunit ribosomal RNA", at positions 28 to 507 of the family's 1533-position model. The record is from RNAcentral.
GACGAACGCUGGCGGCGUGCUUAACACAUGCAAGUCGAGCGGAAAGGCCCUUCGGGGUACUCGAGCGGCGAACGGGUGCGUAACACGUGAGUAACCUGCCCCAGAUUUUGGGAUAACCCUCGGAAACGGGGGCUAAUACCGGAUACGACACAGCUUCGCAUGGGGUCUGUGUGGAAAGUUUUUCGGUUUGGGAUGGGCUCGCGGCCUAUCAGCUUGUUGGUGGGGUGAUGGCCUACCAAGGCGACGACGGGUAGCCGGCCUGAGAGGGCGACCGGCCACACUGGGACUGAGACACGGCCCAGACUCCUACGGGAGGCAGCAGUGGGGAAUAUUGCACAAUGGGCGGAAGCCUGAUGCAGCGACGCCGCGUGAGGGAUGACGGCCUUCGGGUUGUAAACCUCUUUCAGCAGGGACGAAGCGUAAGUGACGGUACCUGCAGAAGAAGCGCCGGCCAACUACGUG